This 501-nucleotide ribosomal RNA is filed under the name uncultured bacterium. RNAcentral describes it as "bacterial SSU rRNA". It matches the Rfam family "Bacterial small subunit ribosomal RNA", at positions 312 to 830 of the family's 1533-position model. The record is from RNAcentral.
AUUGGGACUGAGACACGGCCCAGACUCCUACGGGAGGCAGCAGUGGGGAAUAUUGCACAAUGGGGGAAACCCUGAUGCAGCGACGCCGCGUGGAGGAAGAAGGUCUUCGGAUUGUAAACUCCUGUUGUUGGGGAAGAUAAUGACGGUACCCAACAAGGAAGUGACGGCUAACUACGUGUCAGCAGCCGCGGUAAAACGUAGGUCACAAGCGUUGUCCGGAAUUACUGGGUGUAAAGGGAGCGCAGGCGGGAAGACAAGUUGGAAGUGAAAUCUAUGGGCUCAACCCAUAAACUGCUUUCAAAACUGUUUUUCUUGAGUAGUGCAGAGGUAGGCGGAAUUCCCGGUGUAGCGGUGGAAUGCGUAGAUAUCGGGAGGAACACCAGUGGCGAAGGCGGCCUACUGGGCACCAACUGACGCUGAGGCUCGAAAGUGUGGGUAGCAAACAGGAUUAGAUACCCUGGUAGUCCACACCGUANACGAUGAUUACUAGGUGUUGGAGGA